Molecule: unclassified non-coding RNA, 212 nt
Filed under: plant metagenome
Description: partial contains small subunit ribosomal RNA, internal transcribed spacer 1, and 5.8S ribosomal RNA
Source: RNAcentral
UCUCCGUUGGUGAACCAGCGGAGGGAUCAUUACAGGAUCGAAAGACUCCUAUAACCCCUGUGAACUUACUACAAAUACGUUGCUUCGGCGGGUGCCCCGGGUCUCCCGGGGCGUUCAGCCCGCCGGCGGCCUUCAAAUUCUGUUUCUUUGCGUUGGCAUCUCGAGUAUACAAAAAUAAGUUAAAACUUUCAACAACGGAUCUCUUGGUUCUG